GAUGAACGCUGGCGGUAUGCUUAACACAUGCCAGUCGAACGGACUCUUCGGAGUUUGUGGCGGACGGGUGAGUAACGCGUGAGAAUCUGGCUUUGGGUUCGGGACAACUACUGGAAACGGUGGCUAAUACCGGAUGUGCCGAGAGGUAAAAGAGAAAUUGCCUGAAGAUGAGCCCGCGUCUGAUUAGCUAGUUGGUGUGGUAAAGGCACACCAAGGCAGCGAUCAGUAGCUGGUCUGAGAGGAUGACCAGCCACACUGGGACUGAGACACGGCCCAGACCACUACGGGAGGCAGCAGUGGGGAAUUUUCCGCAAUGGGCGAAAGCCUGACGGAGCAAUACCGCGUGAGGGAAGAAGGCUCUUGGGUUGUAAACCUCUUUUCUUAGGGAAGAACAAAAUGACGGUACCUAAGGAAUCAGCAUCGGCUAACUCCGUG
RNAcentral lists this ribosomal RNA (435 nucleotides) under uncultured bacterium. RNAcentral's name for it is "partial 16S ribosomal RNA". It matches the Rfam family "Bacterial small subunit ribosomal RNA", at positions 28 to 507 of the family's 1533-position model. The record is from RNAcentral.